GACGAACGCUGGCGGCGUGCCUAAUACAUGCAAGUAGAACGCUGAAGAGAGGAGCUUGCUCUUCCUGGAUGAGUUGCGAACGGGUGAGUAACGCGUAGGUGACCUGCCUUGUAGCGGGGGAUAACUAUUGGAAACGAUAGCUAAUACCGCAUAACAAUGGAUGACACAUGUCAUUUAUUUGAAAGGGGCAAUUGCUCCACUACAAGAUGGACCUGCGUUGUAUUAGCUAGUAGGUGAGGUAAUGGCUCACCUAGGCGACGAUACAUAGCCGACCUGAGAGGGUGAUCGGCCACACUGGGACUGAGACACGGCCCAGACUCCUACGGGAGGCAGCAGUAGGGAAUCUUCGGCAAUGGGGGCAACCCUGACCGAGCAACGCCGCGUGAGUGAAGAAGGUUUUCGGAUCGUAAAGCUCUGUUGUAAGUCAAGAACGGGUGUGAGAGUGGAAAGUUCACACUGUGACGGUAGCUUACCAGAAAGGGACGGCUAACUACGUG
RNAcentral lists this ribosomal RNA (497 nucleotides) under uncultured bacterium. Its description in RNAcentral is "partial 16S ribosomal RNA". It matches the Rfam family "Bacterial small subunit ribosomal RNA", at positions 28 to 507 of the family's 1533-position model. The record is from RNAcentral.